UAAUACGAAGGGGGCUAGCGUUGUUCGGAAUCACUGGGCGUAAAGCGCACGCAGGCGGAUUGAUAAGUCAGGGGUGAAAUCCCGAGGCUCAACCUCGGAAUUGCCUUUGAUACUGUCUAUCUUCGAGUUCGGGAGAGGUUGGCGGAAUUCCUAGUGUAGAGGUGAAAUUCGUAGAUAUUAGGAAGAACACCAGUGGCGAAGGCGGCCAACUGGCCCGAUACUGACGCUCAUGUGCGAAAGCGUGGGGAGCAAACAGGAUUAGAUACCCUGGUAGUCCACGCCGUAAACUAUGGAUGCUAGCCGUUGGGGAGCUUGCUCUUCAGUGGCGCAGCUAACGUCUUAAGCAUCCCGCCUGGGGAGUACGGUCGCAAGAUUA
This 376-nucleotide ribosomal RNA is filed under the name uncultured bacterium. RNAcentral describes it as "bacterial SSU rRNA". It matches the Rfam family "Bacterial small subunit ribosomal RNA", at positions 521 to 896 of the family's 1533-position model. The record is from RNAcentral.